RNAcentral lists this ribosomal RNA (743 nucleotides) under uncultured bacterium. RNAcentral's name for it is "bacterial SSU rRNA". It matches the Rfam family "Bacterial small subunit ribosomal RNA", at positions 56 to 796 of the family's 1533-position model. The record is from RNAcentral.
UGCAAGUCGAACGGAACUGUUUUGAAAGAUUUCUUCGGAAUGAAUUUGAUUUAGUUUAGUGGCGGACGGGUGAGUAACGCGUGAGUAACCUGCCUUCAAGAGGGGGAUAACAUUCUGAAAAGAAUGCUAAUACCGCAUGACAUAUCGGAAUCACAUGAUUUUGAUAUCAAAGAUUUUAUCGCUUGAAGAUGGACUCGCGUCCGAUUAGUUAGUUGGUGAGGUAACGGCUCACCAAGACCGCGAUCGGUAGCCGGACUGAGAGGUUGAACGGCCACAUUGGGACUGAGACACGGCCCAGACUCCUACGGGAGGCAGCAGUGGGGGAUAUUGCGCAAUGGGGGCAACCCUGACGCAGCAACGCCGCGUGAAGGAUGAAGGUUUUCGGAUUGUAAACUUCUUUUAUUAAGGACGAAAAAUGACGGUACUUAAUGAAUAAGCUCCGGCUAACUACGUGCCAGCAGCCGCGGUAAUACGUAGGGAGCAAGCGUUGUCCGGAUUUACUGGGUGUAAAGGGUGCGUAGGCGGCUUUGCAAGUCAGAUGUGAAAUCUAUGGGCUCAACCCAUAAACUGCAUUUGAAACUGUAGAGCUUGAGUGAAGUAGAGGCAGGCGGAAUUCCCCGUGUAGCGGUGAAAUGCGUAGAGAUGGGGAGGAACACCAGUGGCGAAGGCGGCCUGCUGGGCUUUAACUGACGCUGAGGCACGAAAGCGUGGGUAGCAAACAGGAUUAGAUACCCUGGUAGUCC